Molecule: ribosomal RNA, 241 nt
Filed under: uncultured bacterium
Lineage: Bacteria
Description: partial 16S ribosomal RNA
Rfam family: Bacterial small subunit ribosomal RNA
Source: RNAcentral
UAGUCCACGCGGUAAACGAUGGAUGCUCGCUGUUGGUGCGAUUGUAUCAGCGGCCAAGCGAAAGCGUUAAGCAUCCCACCUGGGGAGUACGCCGGCAACGGUGAAACUCAAAGGAAUUGACGGGGGCCCGCACAAGCGGAGGAACAUGUGGUUUAAUUCGAUGAUACGCGAGGAACCUUACCCGGGCUUGAAUUGCAGAGGAAAGAUCCAGAGAUGGUGAUGCCCUUCGGGGUCUCUGUGA